CUACUUUGACGUUAGCGGCGGACGGGUGAGUAACACGUGGGUAACCUACCUAUAAGACUGGGAUAACUUCGGGAAACCGGAGCUAAUACCGGAUAAUAUUUCGAACCGCAUGGUUCGAUAGUGAAAGGUGGUUUUGCUAUCACUUAUAGAUGGACCCGCGCCGUAUUAGCUAGUUGGUAAGGUAACGGCUUACCAAGGCGACGAUACGUAGCCGACCUGAGAGGGUGAUCGGCCACACUGGAACUGAGACACGGUCCAGACUCCUACGGGAGGCAGCAGCC
This 281-nucleotide ribosomal RNA is filed under the name uncultured Staphylococcus sp. RNAcentral's name for it is "partial 16S ribosomal RNA". It matches the Rfam family "Bacterial small subunit ribosomal RNA", at positions 80 to 355 of the family's 1533-position model. Lineage: Bacteria; Bacillati; Bacillota; Bacilli; Caryophanales; Staphylococcaceae. The record is from RNAcentral.